CCUACGGGGGGGCAGCAGUGGGGAAUAUUGGACAAUGGGCGAAAGCCUGAUCCAGCCAUGCCGCGUGUGUGAAGAAGGCCUUCGGGUUGUAAAGCACUUUCAGUGGGGAAGAAAGCCUUGGGGCUAAUACCCUCGAGGAAGGACAUCACCCACAGAAGAAGCACCGGCUAACUCCGUGCCAGCAGCCGCGGUAAUACGGAGGGUGCGAGCGUUAAUCGGAAUUACUGGGCGUAAAGCGCGCGUAGGCGGUCUGAUAAGCCGGUUGUGAAAGCCCCGGGCUCAACCUGGGAACGGCAUCCGGAACUGUCAGGCUAGAGUGCAGGAGAGGAAGGUAGAAUUCCCGGUGUAGCGGUGAAAUGCGUAGAGAUCGGGAGGAAUACCAGUGGCGAAGGCGGCCUUCUGGACUGACACUGACGCUGAGGUGCGAAAGCGUGGGUAGCAAACAGGAUUAGAUACCCGGGUAGUC
RNAcentral lists this ribosomal RNA (466 nucleotides) under Vreelandella stevensii. RNAcentral's name for it is "partial 16S ribosomal RNA". It matches the Rfam family "Bacterial small subunit ribosomal RNA", at positions 338 to 795 of the family's 1533-position model. The record is from RNAcentral. Lineage: Bacteria; Pseudomonadati; Pseudomonadota; Gammaproteobacteria; Oceanospirillales; Halomonadaceae.